Molecule: non-coding RNA, 125 nt
Organism: Brachypodium distachyon (stiff brome)
Lineage: Eukaryota; Viridiplantae; Streptophyta; Magnoliopsida; Poales; Poaceae
Source: Rfam
CAACUACUCCCUCCGUUUCAUAAUUCUUGUCGAAAUAUUACAUGUAUCUAGAAAUUUUUUAGUAAUAGAUACAUCCAGUUUUGGACAAAUUUGAGACAAGAAUUAUGCAACGGAGAGGGUACUUG